Molecule: ribosomal RNA, 1248 nt
Filed under: metagenome
Description: bacterial LSU rRNA
Rfam family: Bacterial large subunit ribosomal RNA
Source: RNAcentral
CCAUACGACCGUACCGCAAACCGACACUGGUGCGCGAGAUGAGUAUUCUAAGGCGCCUGAGAGAACUCAGGAGAAGGAACUCGGCAAAUUGACACCGUAACUUCGGAAGAAGGUGUGCCCUAUUAGUGUGUAGUGAACAACGAAGCAUGAAUGGGUUGCAAAAAAUCGGUGGCUGCGACUGUUUAUUAAAAACACAGCACUCUGCAAACACGAAAGUGGACGUAUAGGGUGUGACGCCUGCCCGGUGCUGGAAGAUUAAAUGAUGGGGUGCAAGCUCUUGAUUGAAGUCCCAGUAAACGGCGGCCGUAACGAUAACGGUCCUAAGGUAGCGAAAUUCCUUGUCGGGUAAGUUCCGACCUGCACGAACGGCGUAACGAUGGCCACACUGUCUCCUCCUGAGACUCAGCGAAGUUGAAAUGUUUGUGAUGAUGCAAUCUCCCCGCGGAAAGACGGAAAGACCCCAUGAACCUUUACUGUAGCUUUGUAUUGGACUUUGAACAGAUCUGUGUAGGAUAGGUGGGAGGCUUUGAAGCAGGGUCGCUAGAUCUUGUGGAGCCAACGUUGAAAUACCACCCUGGUGUGUUUGAGGUUCUAACCUAGGUCCAUUAUCUGGAUCGGGGACAGUGCAUGGUAGGCAGUUUGACUGGGGCGGUCUCCUCCCAAAGCGUAACGGAGGAGUUCGAAGGUACGCUAGUUACGGUCGGACAUCGUGACGAUAGUGCAAUGGCAUAAGCGUGCUUAACUGCGAGACUGACAAGUCGAGCAGAUGCGAAAGCAGGACAUAGUGAUCCGGUGGUUCUGUAUGGAAGGGCCAUCGCUCAACGGAUAAAAGGUACUCUGGGGAUAACAGGCUGAUACCGCCCAAGAGUUCAUAUCGACGGCGGUGUUUGGCACCUCGAUGUCGGCUCAUCUCAUCCUGGGGCUGUAGCCGGUCCCAAGGGUAUGGCUGUUCGCCAUUUAAAGAGGUACGUGAGCUGGGUUUAAAACGUCGUGAGACAGUUUGGUCCCUAUCUUCCGUGGGCGCUGCAGAUUUGAGGAAGCCUGCUCCUAGUACGAGAGGACCGGAGUGGACACACCUCUGGUGUAUCGGUUGUCACGCCAGUGGCAUUGCCGAGUAGCUAAGUGUGGAAGAGAUAACCGCUGAAAGCAUCUAAGCGGGAAACUCGUUUCAAGAUGAGAUCUGCCGGGGCCUUGAGCCCCCUAAAGAGUCGUUCAAGACCAGGACGUUGAUAGGUCAGGUGUGGAAGC